GAAGUGCUGAGGAGUCCCAUACUAGGACGAAACGGUCGUCCAGUGC
Molecule: non-coding RNA, 46 nt
Filed under: Schistosoma margrebowiei
Lineage: Eukaryota; Metazoa; Platyhelminthes; Trematoda; Strigeidida; Schistosomatidae
Source: RNAcentral